This 414-nucleotide ribosomal RNA is filed under the name uncultured microorganism. RNAcentral's name for it is "bacterial SSU rRNA". It matches the Rfam family "Archaeal small subunit ribosomal RNA", at positions 330 to 745 of the family's 1478-position model. The record is from RNAcentral.
GCACAGCAGGCGAGAAACCUCCGCAAUACACGAAAGUGUGGCGGGGCCAUCCCGAGUGCCGUCCGCUGAGGACGGCUUUUCCCCAGUGUACACAGCUGGGGGAAUAAGGAGAGGGCAAGCCUGGUGUCAGCCGCCGCGGUAAUACCAGCUCUCCGAGUGGUGGGGACGCUUAUUGGGCCUAAAGCAUCCGUAGCCGGCUGGGCAAGUCCUCCGUUAAAUCCAACGAUUCAAUCGUUGGGCUGCGGGGGAUACUGUCCAGCUUGGGGGCGGGAGAGGCUGACGGUAUUCCCGGGGUAGGGGUGAAAAUCCUAUAAUCCCGGGAGGACCACCAGUGGCGAAGGCUGUCGGCUAGAACGCGCCCGACGGUGAGGGAUGAAAGCUGGGGGAGCGAACCGGAUUAGAUACCCCGGUAGU